This 253-nucleotide ribosomal RNA is filed under the name uncultured bacterium. RNAcentral's name for it is "partial 16S ribosomal RNA". It matches the Rfam family "Bacterial small subunit ribosomal RNA", at positions 524 to 776 of the family's 1533-position model. The record is from RNAcentral.
UACAGAGGUCUCAAGCGUUGUUCGGAUUCAUUGGGCGUAAAGGGUGCGUAGGCGGCGCGGUAAGUCGGGUGUGAAAUCUCGGAGCUUAACUCCGAAACUGCAUUCGAUACUGCCGUGCUUGAGGACUGGAGAGGAGACUGGAAUUUACGGUGUAGCGGUGAAAUGCGUAGAUAUCGUAAGGAAGACCAGUGGCGAAGGCGGGUCUCUGGACCAAUACUGACGCUGAGACGCGAAAGCGUGGGGAGCAAACAGG